AAGAAAUGUAAUAUUUUAAAAUUAUUACUUAUUUUUACUAAAAAAAUUAUUUUUAGUUACGAAAAUUUGUAAUUUUAAUUAUUUGGUUAAGUAAUUAUAGUUGUAAGAAAAAACAAUCAUUGAUGUGAAUAAAUGUAAUAUUAAAAAAAAACAUAUAUAAAUGGAAAAAAAUAGAAAAAAAGUGUUGAAAAUAAAAAAUUAAACAAAAAAGCCAUAAAAAAUUGAAAAAAAAAUGAAAGACAAAAAACUAAAAAAAGAAAGCAAAAAGGAACAAAAAAAAAGAGAAAAAACGAUAAAGCUAAAAAAGGAACAAAAAAAAAACAAAAGAAAAAACGAAAAAGACAAAAAACUGAAAAAAAUAAAAUAAUAAAAAAGCAAAAAAUGAAACCAAGGAAAAGGAACAAAAAAACCAAGAAAAAUGGACAAAGGGGUUUCGAACCCUGUUCCUUAGAAAUAUGAGGCAACGUCUUUACCAAUGCACCAAACACUGCUUUUAAUUUUAUUUACUAAAAUAAUUUAUAUAACAGUUUGAUCCGGGUCGGGGCCGCAUAGCAUGCGGGCACCCGCACCCAAGUCUAAC
RNAcentral lists this long non-coding RNA (580 nucleotides) under Salvia miltiorrhiza (redroot sage). RNAcentral describes it as "long non-coding RNA (SMIL_LNC002541)". Lineage: Eukaryota; Viridiplantae; Streptophyta; Magnoliopsida; Lamiales; Lamiaceae. The record is from RNAcentral.